CGGCAAUAAGGCGCCUGAAGGACAAGAAGGCGGGAACGGUUGAAGAUUGGGACGUAACUUCCACGAGGAGUUAGUGUAACUUCCAUGAGGAGUUAGUAUAACUUUCACUAUAAUGGUUACAACCACUUCCCCCAACUACUUUCAACCAACUAAUAAUGUGGGCUAUAAAUAGUAACUCUGAAGCCUGCAAUAGAGGUCUUCGCCCCUGCGCACAAAAGACCACCUUUAUUUUUCUGCAUCUUUCUUUCCUACAUUUACCGCUUUUCAU
RNAcentral lists this long non-coding RNA (268 nucleotides) under Ananas comosus (pineapple). RNAcentral describes it as "long non-coding RNA (ACOM_LNC043077)". The record is from RNAcentral. Lineage: Eukaryota; Viridiplantae; Streptophyta; Magnoliopsida; Poales; Bromeliaceae.